This 202-nucleotide long non-coding RNA is filed under the name Elaeis guineensis (African oil palm). Its description in RNAcentral is "long non-coding RNA (EGUI_LNC056279)". The record is from RNAcentral. Lineage: Eukaryota; Viridiplantae; Streptophyta; Magnoliopsida; Arecales; Arecaceae.
AAGCCAAAUCUAGCCAUCCCCACUCUAUGGAAAAUAUGGUCCUCUCCUCCGGUGACCAGUUCGCCCUCUUUGGCUCUUAGGACGGUAGGCUCCAUCGCUACCAAGUCUGGCUGCAUCCUCAGCUGUGACUGCCACAGCAUCAACUCUGCCCCCUAUAGACCCAUCCUGGUGGUCAAUCUUCAGGAGGUGAAUCAAGGUAGAG